CGGGCUAUGGCGCAGUUGGUAGCGCGCAUGCAUGGGGUGCAUGAGGCCGUGGGUUCAAAUCCCACUAGCCCGACCA
This 76-nucleotide transfer RNA is filed under the name Patescibacteria group bacterium. RNAcentral describes it as "tRNA-Pro". It matches the Rfam family "tRNA". From Rfam's summary of the family: Transfer RNA (tRNA) molecules are approximately 80 nucleotides in length. Their secondary structure includes four short double-helical elements and three loops (D, anti-codon, and T loops). Further hydrogen bonds mediate the characteristic L-shaped molecular structure. tRNAs have two regions of fundamental functional importance: the anti-codon, which is responsible for specific mRNA codon recognition, and the 3' end, to which the tRNAs corresponding amino acid is attached (by aminoacyl-tRNA synthetases). tRNAs cope with the degeneracy of the genetic code in two manners: having more than one tRNA (with a specific anti-codon) for a particular amino acid; and 'wobble' base-pairing, i.e. permitting non-standard base-pairing at the 3rd anti-codon position. The record is from RNAcentral.